GAUGAACGCUGGCGGCGUGCCUAAUACAUGCAAGUCGAGCGAACAGACGAGGAGCUUGCUCCUUUGAUGUUAGCGGCGGACGGGUGAGUAACACGUGGGUAACCUACCUAUAAGACUGGGAUAACUUCGGGAAACCGGAGCUAAUACCGGAUAAUAUUUCGAACCGCAUGGUUCGAUAGUGAAAGAUGGCUUUGCUAUCACUUAUAGAUGGACCUGCGCCGUAUUAGCUAGUUGGUAAGGUAACGGCUUACCAAGGCAACGAUACGUAGCCGACCUGAGAGGGUGAUCGGCCACACUGGAACUGAGACACGGUCCAGACUCCUACGGGAGGCAGCAGUAGGGAAUCUUCCGCAAUGGGCGAAAGCCUGACGGAGCAACGCCGCGUGAGUGAUGAAGGUCUUCGGAUCGUAAAACUCUGUUAUUAGGGAAGAACAAACGUGUAAGUAACUGUGCACGUCUUGACGGUACCUAAUCAGAAAGCCACGGCUAACUACGUGCCAGCAGCCGCGGUAAUACGUAGGUGGCAAGCGUUAUCCGGAAUUAUUGGGCGUAAAGCGCGCGUAGGCGGUUUUUUAGUCUGAUGUGAAAGCCCACGGCUCAACCCGUGGAGGGUCAUUGGAAACUGGAAAACUUGAGUGCAGAAGAGGAAAGUGGAAUUCCAUGUGUAGCGGUGAAAUGCGCAGAGAUAUGGAGGAACACCAGUGGCGAAGGCGACUUUCUGGUCUGUAACUGACGCUGAUGUGCGUAAGCGUGGGGAUCAAACAGGAUUAGAUACCCUGGUAGUCCACGCCGUAAACGAUGAGUGCUAAGUGUUAGGGGGUUUCCGCCCCUUAGUGCUGCAGCUAACGCAUUAAGCACUCCGCCUGGGGAGUACGACCGCAAGGUUGAAACUCAAAGGAAUUGACGGGGACCCGCACAAGCGGUGGAGCAUGUGGUUUAAUUCGAAGCGACGCGAAGAACCUUACCAAAUCUUGACAUCCUUUGACCCUUCUAGAGAUAGAAGUUUCCCCUUCGGGGGACAAAGUGACAGGUGGUGCAUGGUUGUCGUCAGCUCGUGUCGUGAGAUGUUGGGUUAAGUCCCGCAACGAGCGCAACCCUUAAGCUUAGUUGCCAUCAUUAAGUUGGGCACUCUAAGUUGACUGCCGGUGACAAACCGGAGGAAGGUGGGGAUGACGUCAAAUCAUCAUGCCCCUUAUGAUUUGGGCUACACACGUGCUACAAUGGACAAUACAAAGGGCAGCGAAACCGCGAGGUCAAGCAAAUCCCAUAAAGUUGUUCUCAGUUCGGAUUGUAGUCUGCAACUCGACUACAUGAAGCUGGAAUCGCUAGUAAUCGUAGAUCAGCAUGCUACGGUGAAUACGUUCCCGGGUCU
RNAcentral lists this ribosomal RNA (1372 nucleotides) under uncultured bacterium. RNAcentral describes it as "bacterial SSU rRNA". It matches the Rfam family "Bacterial small subunit ribosomal RNA", at positions 28 to 1381 of the family's 1533-position model. The record is from RNAcentral.